AGCGGCGGACGGGUGAGUAACACGUGGGUAACCUGCCUGUAAGACUGGGAUAACUCCGGGAAACCGGGGCUAAUACCGGAUGCUUGUUUGAACCGCAUGGUUCAAACAUAAAAGGUGGCUUCGGCUACCACUUACAGAUGGACCCGCGGCGCAUUAGCUAGUUGGUGAGGUAACGGCUCACCAAGGCAACGAUGCGUAGCCGACCUGAGAGGGUGAUCGGCCACACUGGGACUGAGACACGGCCCAGACUCCUACGGGAGGCAGCAGUAGGGAAUCUUCCGCAAUGGACGAAAGUCUGACGGAGCAACGCCGCGUGAGUGAUGAAGGUUUUCGGAUCGUAAAGCUCUGUUGUUAGGGAAGAACAAGUACCGUUCGAAUAGGGCGGUACCUUGACGGUACCUAACCAGAAAGCCACGGCUAACUACGUGCCAGCAGCCGCGGUAAUACGUAGGUGGCAAGCGUUGUCCGGAAUUAUUGGGCGUAAAGGGCUCGCAGGCGGUUUCUUAAGUCUGAUGUGAAAGCCCCCGGCUCAACCGGGGAGGGUCAUUGGAAACUGGGGAACUUGAGUGCAGAAGAGGAGAGUGGAAUUCCACGUGUAGCGGUGAAAUGCGUAGAGAUGUGGAGGAACACCAGUGGCGAAGGCGACUCUCUGGUCUGUAACUGACGCUGAGGAGCGAAAGCGUGGGGAGCGAACAGGAUUAGAUACCCUGGUAGUCCACGCCGUAAACGAUGAGUGCUAAGUGUUAGGGGGUUUCCGCCCCUUAGUGCUGCAGCUAACGCAUUAAGCACUCCGCCUGGGGAGUACGGUCGCAAGACUGAAACUCAAAGGAAUUGACGGGGGCCCGCACAAGCGGUGGAGCAUGUGGUUUAAUUCGAAGCAACGCGAAGAACCUUACCAGGUCUUGACAUCCUCUGACAAUCCUAGAGAUAGGACGUCCCCUUCGGGGGCAGAGUGACAGGUGGUGCAUGGUUGUCGUCAGCUCGUGUCGUGAGAUGUUGGGUUAAGUCCCGCAACGAGCGCAACCCUUGAUCUUAGUUGCCAGCAUUCAGUUGGGCACUCUAAGGUGACUGCCGGUGACAAACCGGAGGAAGGUGGGGAUGACGUCAAAUCAUCAUGCCCCUUAUGACCUGGGCUACACACGUGCUACAAUGGACAGAACAAAGGGCAGCGAAACCGCGAGGUUAAGCCAAUCCCACAAAUCUGUUCUCAGUUCGGAUCGCAGUCUGCAACUCGACUGCGUGAAGCUGGAAUCGCUAGUAAUCGCGGAUCAGCAUGCCGCGGUGAAUACGUUCCCG
This 1296-nucleotide ribosomal RNA is filed under the name Bacillus subtilis. Its description in RNAcentral is "bacterial SSU rRNA". It matches the Rfam family "Bacterial small subunit ribosomal RNA", at positions 94 to 1376 of the family's 1533-position model. The record is from RNAcentral. Lineage: Bacteria; Bacillati; Bacillota; Bacilli; Caryophanales; Bacillaceae.